This 63-nucleotide small RNA is filed under the name Saccharolobus islandicus REY15A. RNAcentral describes it as "Sulfolobus islandicus REY15A non-coding RNA". Lineage: Archaea; Thermoproteati; Thermoproteota; Thermoprotei; Sulfolobales; Sulfolobaceae. The record is from RNAcentral.
CAACUCCCCAUUAAAUCCCCAUAACCCCCUUUUAUUACCCCAUUUGCCCUGGCCCUAUCCCAU